GAUUUUGGACACAGCCUGACAGGACAGCCAAUAGGAUUGCACAUGGGCCAAGAUGGGGGGCAUCCAGAAAAGCGAGGAAUCUAGAACUCCAAGGUCUGGGGGGCCUGAGCUCCUGGAGGGAUAGACCUGACACCCCCUGAGGGGGGAGGGCUAGGGAGGCAUAGCUAUUGGGAGUUUGGUCUUGUCCAUGCUGAGGGUGAGCUGUCUAUUCGAGUCUGUGUGGGGACACCCAAAGGGCCGUUGGACACAUGAUUCCAGAGUUGAGAGAAUCAGGCCUGGAAAUGACAAGUCUGUGGCAUGUCAACAUCUAGAGCUGCCCUAGUGAAUGAGUGUGGACAGAGAUGCCCCAGGACCCUCCACCAGAGACCGAGAGGGGCCACCAGCUGGACAGGAAACAGAAGAGGUUCUCGAGGCUGUAAGUCCUGGAUCAUGGCAUCAGCGCUGUGGACCCUCCUCCUGGCUUGCAGACAGCCGUCUUCUCACUGUGCAUGUGGUGCAGGGAGAGAGAAGGAGGGAGAGACAGAGACACAGAGUUAGUUUUUUGGUGUCUCUACCCUCGUGAUUUAUCUAAUCCCGAUUACCUACCGAAGGCUCCCUCUACAAAUAUAACAUUGGGCGUUAGGACUUCAACUUAUGGAUUUUGGGGGAGCCAUGAUUUAGUCCACAGCAAUGUUGGAUGUGAAAGGCUGUUCAGAUUUCUGGUGUUUAAACCAUGUUGUGAUAUGCUAAUUGUGUCCAUGUCUGUGGCUGUUUGCAGGGAUUUCGUGGGUUUGUCUUUGCUCAUUUUCAUUCUUGUACAGGGCACUUGGUUUUUUCCUGAAAUUUGCUACAGCUUAUUAUUAUGUGUGUGUGUUUAAAUGUCUAUCCUCCAAUCAGCCAUGAGAGCAGGACCUCUAUAGCCCUUGGCUGCACCCCCAGUGCCUAGAAUAGCUUCUGUCUCAUUGUAAGUGCUCACGAAACACUGGCUGAAGACCGUGGUGUUCUCCAGCACCAGCCCAGCACCCAGCACUGGCCGCUGAGGACAGCUUCCUGCGAGGAUCCUUCAGAACCCAGUCUGUUAUCUCCCAAAUGGCAUUGACCUUGGGAAGUUUAGGAAGCAAACUGUCUGGUACAAGAGAGCAGCUGGCUCAAAGCCCAGACCAGAACCUCUACAGGAAGGGGCCCCUCUCCCCACUGAAAGGCAGAAUUACUAGUGAGGUUGCUCACUGGAGGAAGUAAGACCAGGUUCAAAGUUGCCCAGUGCCCUCCGGCACCUGAGCUGAUGCCCCAGCAACUGGCCUGGACAUGUGCCCUUUCUCCGGGUGAUUGUGAUGACGUCAUUUUGGGAAGAGGAGCUGGCAUUGGCACUCUCUGAGACCCCGAGCCUUGGGUUGGCCUGAUGGAGGGAAGCUACCUACUAGUCACCGAUGGGUGAGCAUUACGUCGAGCAGAGAUGGGAGAUCGAGCACAGGUCCGCCUGCAUCGAAAGCCUGUGACCGUACACUACGCCAUCUUUGAGGAAAGAAGGGGACCCAGCCAGGUGAAAGUCUUUUCCGGAGCUGCCUUCUACCCUGUCUUUGAUCCCAGAAUAACCUGGCUCACACCUGCAGAAAAUCUUGCUGGGAUUCUGACAGCAACUGCAUUAACACCUGGAUAUCGGGGCGCCUGGG
This is a long non-coding RNA of Suricata suricatta (meerkat), 1649 nucleotides long. RefSeq lists it as uncharacterized. The transcript is spliced from 4 exons. NCBI's taxonomy places the organism in Eukaryota, Metazoa, Chordata, Mammalia, Carnivora, Herpestidae. The record is from RefSeq and is a predicted model, not a curated record.